UACGAAGGGGGCUAGCGUUGCUCGGAAUUACUGGGCGUAAAGCGCACGUAGGCGGUCUUUUAAGUCGGGGGUGAAAUCCUGGAGCUCAACUCCAGAACUGCCUUCGAUACUGGAAGACUUGAGUCCGGGAGAGGGUGAGUGGAACUGCGAGUGUAGAGGUGAAAUUCGUAGAUAUUCGCAAGAACACCAGUGGCGAAGGCGGCUCACUGGCCCGGUACUGACGCUGAGGUGCGAAAGCGUGGGGAGCAAACAGG
RNAcentral lists this ribosomal RNA (254 nucleotides) under uncultured bacterium. Its description in RNAcentral is "partial 16S ribosomal RNA". It matches the Rfam family "Bacterial small subunit ribosomal RNA", at positions 524 to 776 of the family's 1533-position model. The record is from RNAcentral.